GUCUGUGGUAUCCUACUCCAAAGAGUGUCAGUCAUAUGUAAUUCAAUUUGAUUGACACUUUUGUGAGUAGAGUAAUGUGACA
This 82-nucleotide microRNA precursor is filed under the name Callithrix jacchus (white-tufted-ear marmoset). The record is from RNAcentral. Lineage: Eukaryota; Metazoa; Chordata; Mammalia; Primates; Cebidae.